GCCACACUGGGACUGAGACACUGCCCAGACUCCUACGGGAGGCUGCAGUCGAGAAUAUUUAGCAAUGGGCGAAAGCCUGACUAUGCGACGCCGCGUGCAGGAUGAAGGCCUUCGGGUCGUAAACUGCUUUUGUCAAGGAAGAAACCUCUAUCAUUAAUAGUGCUAGAGCUGACGGUACUUGGCGAAUAAGCCACGGCCAACUCCGUGCCAGCAGCCGCGGUAAUACGGGGGUGGCAAGCGUUACUCGGAAUCAUUGGGUGUAAAGGGCAAGUAGGCGGUCUGUUAAGUGAGGGGUGAAAUCUUCCGACUCAACCGGAAAACUGCCUUUCAAACUGACAGACUUGAGGCAGGAAGAGGGAAAUGGAAUUCCAGGUGUAAGGGUGAAAUCUGUAGAUAUCUGGAAGAACACCAGCGGCGUAGGCGAUUUCCUGGUCCUGUUCUGACGCUAAAUUGCGAAAGCUAGGGGAGCAAACAGAAUUAGAUACUCUGGUAGUCCUAGCUGUAAACGAUGAGCACUAGGUGUCGGACCUUUGGGUUCGGUGUCGCAGCUAACGCAUUAAGUGCUCCACCUGGGGACUACGGUCGCAAGGCUAAAACUCAAAGGAAUUGACGGGGGCCCGCACAAGCGGUGGAACAUGUGGUUUAAUUCGAUGAUACGCGAAAAACCUCACCAGGGCUUGACAUAUAGGAAGUAGUGAACCGAAAGGGGAACAAACCGUCAAGUCGGUAACUUAUACAGGUGCUGCAUGGCUGUCGUCAGCUCGUGUCGUGAGAUGUUGGGUUAAGUCCCGCAACGAGCGCAACCAUUGUCUCAUGUUGCCACUCCUGUUCAUCUGUUCUGCAGAUUGCAGGAAGCACUCUUGAGAGACUGCCUGGGAUAACCAGGAGGAAGGUGGAGAUGACGUCAAGUCAGUACGGCCCUUAUGCCCUGGGCAACACACGUGUUACAAUGGCUGGUACAAAGGGUUGCCAACCCGCGAGGGGGAGCUAAUCUCUAAAAACCAGCCUCAGUUCAGAUUGGAGUCUGCAAUUCGACUCCAUGAAGCCGGAAUCGCUAGUAAUGGGAGAUCAGCACGCUCCCGUGAAUACGUUCCCGGGCCUUGUACACACCGCCCGUCAAGCGAUGGGAGCUGGGAGUACCCGAAGUCCUAUGUAGAUAGGCCGAAGGUAAGUCUGGUGACUGGCGCUAAGUCGUAACAAGGUA
RNAcentral lists this ribosomal RNA (1204 nucleotides) under metagenome. RNAcentral's name for it is "bacterial SSU rRNA". It matches the Rfam family "Bacterial small subunit ribosomal RNA", at positions 307 to 1498 of the family's 1533-position model. The record is from RNAcentral.